UGGGGAAUAUUGCACAAUGGGCGCAAGCCUGAUGCAGCAACGCCGCGUGAACGAUGAAGGUCUUCGGAUCGUAAAGUUCUGUUGCAGGGGAAGAUAAUGACGGUACCCUGUGAGGAAGCCCCGGCUAACUACGUUCCAGCAGCCGCGGUAAUACGUCGGGGGCUAGCGUUAUCCGGAUUUACUGGGCGUAAAGGGUGCGUAGGUGGUCUUUCAAGUCGGUGGUUAAAGGCUACGGCUCAACCGUAGUUAGCCUCCGAAACUGGAAGACUUGAGUGCAGGAGAGGAAAGUGGAAAUCCCAGUGUAGCGGUGAAAUGCGUAGAUAUUGGGAGGAAAACGAGGAGCGAAGGGGGCUUUCUGGACUGCAACUGACACUGAGGAACGAAAGCGUGGGUAGCAAACAGG
Molecule: ribosomal RNA, 403 nt
Filed under: Verrucomicrobiota bacterium
Lineage: Bacteria; Pseudomonadati; Verrucomicrobiota
Description: Verrucomicrobia bacterium partial 16S ribosomal RNA
Rfam family: Bacterial small subunit ribosomal RNA
Source: RNAcentral